CCUAAACCAAAGCCUGGGCACCCCUGAAGUCCUGAAGCCUCAUGCCUGGCUUUCCCUGUUGUCUUCCAGUAGCAUCCGCCUACUGGUUUCUACUAGCAGGCGCCUACCGCCACUGCCAUAAUACUGAUGACUGUCCGGUGUUGGGACACCAGUUAACCCCACUUUCCUCAGGGAAAGUCUGAGGCAGAAGGAAAAGUUUCUUGCAUUAACCUGUGGGCGUUAGGCAUCUCAGUCCUGGUGCCUUGCAGCUCUCAAGCUCAGCCCCACGGUCACUGGCAGGUUCCAUGCCUUGGGCAGGAUGCUGGGCCCAGCCAGGACAGCUGAAGGAAAUGGUGGAAGCAGAGAGACUCCUGGCACAGCACCUGCCUGCAGGUGAAGGCAGGAAGAUCCUGGGAAGACAGGUGAGCUGACAUUACCUGAGGGGGAGGAAAGCUUGCCCUGUGUCCCUGCCAUUCUGCGGUGUUCAGACGUUUCCACACGCACCGUCAUUUGAUUUUUAUAGCUUCCCUGUGUCAUUGAGGUUUUACUAUCACCACUUUUCCAGAAGAGAAAGAUAUAUGGGGAGAGGAGGUGAGCUGCUCGAGGCCACACAUCAGGAAGCAAGCUGGCACCACAAGCCAGGCCCCCUGACCCUAUCCAGUCACUGGGCCAGUCAACCCCCGUUCCUUUGGCCCCACAGUUGGCCCUGAGUUCCCUCUUUUCUCAGGACUCCUUGAUUUUGUUCAGUGAUAAACGACAUGUCACCCAGUUUCCCUGAGUCCACGUCUCAUGGAGAAGCAUGAGAAAAGGAGAAUAAGGAGGCCAUUGAAGCAGUCCAGUUGAGAAUUCAUUCACUUAUUCAUUCAGUAAAUAGUCUGAACACCUGUUAUGUAAAAGGCACUGUCGAAGGUGUUAGGGAUACAGCAGAAGACAAAAAAAUCCUGGCCCCUGACACCAGAGAGUUUACAUUCUGGUGGAAGAGAAAGCCAGUGAAGGCGCGAGUAAGUGAGGUGAUUACAGAGCACAGCAAGUGCUGUGGGAGAAAAAAAUACGGUGCUUUCAUAGUGGCAGGGAUGGGGGCGGGGAGGGGGGAGGUACUCGAGAGAAGUUGGGCAAGGAACAUCUGAGCCCUGAAUAAGUCAGCCGAAUUUCCAGGCUGGGGGAACAACAUGUUCAAAGCCCAGUGUCUGAAUAACAUGACGAGGCCUGAACUGGCUUAGUAAGUGGGAGUGGAGAGGAGUGGAUUCGUGAAUACUUACAAGGAAGGACAACAGGAUAGAGUGAAUGGAGUGGCACCUUAGCUGGAAGGAGGUGCCCGAGUUAGGGAGCUCUUUGAGCGUGAGGGUUUUAGCGACAGGCCUUUCGCCUCUAGGGGGCGCUCUUCCCAUCUGUACAAUAGGUUAAGCAGAUGAUAUAACCACCAAGGUUGAUGCUGCUGCUGCUGCUAAGUCGCUUCAGUCGUGUCCGACUCUGUGCGACCCCAGAGACGGCAGCCCACCAGGCUCCCCCGUCCCUGGGAUUCUCCAGGCAAGAAUUCUGGAGUGGGGU
This 1527-nucleotide long non-coding RNA is filed under the name Bos mutus (wild yak). RNAcentral describes it as "lncRNA (ENSBMUG00000011662.1)". Lineage: Eukaryota; Metazoa; Chordata; Mammalia; Artiodactyla; Bovidae. The record is from RNAcentral.